GAUUAACUACACCUGGCUCAAACCUGAAUUUCGGUUAAAGAAAAUAUACAGAUCUGGUUUCUGAGAU
This 67-nucleotide small nucleolar RNA is filed under the name Otolemur garnettii (small-eared galago). Its description in RNAcentral is "Small nucleolar RNA SNORD50 (ENSOGAG00000023326.2)". Lineage: Eukaryota; Metazoa; Chordata; Mammalia; Primates; Galagidae. The record is from RNAcentral.